Cajanus cajan (pigeon pea) is the source of this 350-nucleotide non-coding RNA. The record is from RefSeq and is a predicted model, not a curated record. NCBI's taxonomy places the organism in Eukaryota, Viridiplantae, Streptophyta, Magnoliopsida, Fabales, Fabaceae.
GUUGAAAACUAUCUUAUAAUAUAUGACUAAAGUUAAUGUCUAAUUACGUGUCUUCUUUCGAAAGAUUGAUGAGGACAAGGGAAAAGGUUCUUCUAUAUCUUCCAAGAAGAAUGUUUCAGAACGUUUAAAAGAAGAGGUAAGAGAUGCAAAAAUAAAAGUUCUAGCAAGCCUAAAACAAGAAACUGAUGAAGAGCGCUUGGAAUGGAAAGAGCUAUCCGCCUUGCUUAAAUCAGAAUAUCCAAAGUACACUCCAUUACUUGCCACGAUUUUGGAAGGUUUAGUUUCUAGCAGUAAUGUCAAAGACAAAAUCCAUCGUGAUGAAGAGGUACAUUUUUCUGGUGGAAGCAAAU